AUUGAACGCUAGCGGGAUGCCUUACACAUGCAAGUCGAACGGAGUGGCGAACGGGUGAGUAAUGUACCGGAACGUGCCCAGUAGCGGGGGAUAACUACGCGACAGCGUAGCUAAUACCGCAUACUAUUGGAGCGGCCGAUCUCGGAUUAGCUAGUUGGUGGGGUAACGGCUCACCAAGGCGACGACCCGUAGCUGGGUUGAGAGGGCGACCAGCCACACUGGAACUGAGACACGGCCCAGACUCCUACGGGAGGCAGCAGUGGGGAAUUUUGGACAAUGGGGGAAACCCUGAUCCAGCCAUCCGGCGUGUGCGAUGAAGGCCUUCGGGUUGUAAAGCACUUUUGGCAGGAAAGCGGUACCUGCAGAAUAAGCACCGGCUAACUACGUGCCAGCAGCCGCGGUAAUAC
This 407-nucleotide ribosomal RNA is filed under the name uncultured bacterium. RNAcentral's name for it is "partial 16S ribosomal RNA". It matches the Rfam family "Bacterial small subunit ribosomal RNA", at positions 30 to 526 of the family's 1533-position model. The record is from RNAcentral.